Non-coding RNA from Prunus avium (sweet cherry), 305 nucleotides. The record is from RefSeq and is a predicted model, not a curated record. NCBI's taxonomy places the organism in Eukaryota, Viridiplantae, Streptophyta, Magnoliopsida, Rosales, Rosaceae.
UCAGUUUCAGCUCCAUUUUGAACCCUAAAUCCCCAAACCCCUAAUCAUAUUGAACCAAUCUUCACCCAAUCCGACGAACGGCUUCUCUAAUCCACCCAUCCGGGGCUGGCGACAGCGACACCUUAGUGGCGGCAACAAAGCAAAAAAAUCAACCCCAAAUUCAAUUUGAUUUCAAAGUUGAAUUUGUCUUUCAACAGGCUCCAAGGACAAAUUCCAAGGUUCGGGAUUUAAAGUUAUGGAUCGAUAUUAUAAGAGAAAGUUUUCAUCAACUACUUCUAGUUCGGAUAAUGUGGGUAGUUCAAGUG